AUUCUGUUGUGGGCAUCAUGAACUCAUCAGAGAGCAGUGGAUUACUUCUUGGUUUUGAUGAAGCUGAUAUGGCUGGGCUCAUGAGCCCUCAUCACUUCGCCAGAAUGCUUUCUGAUGAUCUCAGUUCCGUCACUAAAGGGACCAACCAGGGAGGCAAACCAGCCGUCCAGUGUCCUCAAAGUCAAAACGGACCCUACAGUUCUUGCCUCUUCCCUUCCAAC
Long non-coding RNA from Neltuma alba, 221 nucleotides. RefSeq lists it as uncharacterized. The record is from RefSeq and is a predicted model, not a curated record. NCBI's taxonomy places the organism in Eukaryota, Viridiplantae, Streptophyta, Magnoliopsida, Fabales, Fabaceae. The transcript has 3 exons.